UUGGAGGGCAAGUCUGGUGCCAGCAGCCGCGGUAAUUCCAGCUCCAAUAGCGUAUAUUAAAGUUGUUGCAGUUAAAAAGCUCGUAGUUGAACUUCGGGAUCAAUGGAUUGGUCAUGCCGUUGGUAUGUACUGGUCAUAUUGGUUCUCACCUUCUAAGGAACCAUAAUGUCAUUCAUUUGAUGUUUUGGGGAAUUAGGACUGUUACCUUGAAAAAAUUAGAGUGUUUAAAGCAAGCUUACGCUUGAAUACAUUAGCAUGGAAUAAUGAAAUAGGACAUCAGAUUCUAUUUUGUUGGUUUCUAGGAUCGAUGUAAUGAUUAAUAGGGAUAGUUGGGGGCAUUAGUAUUCAAUUGUCAGAGGUGAAAUUCUUGGAUUUAUUGAAGACUAACUACUGCGAAAGCAUUUGCCAAGGAUGUUUUCAUUAAUCAAGAACGAAAGUUAGGGGAUCGAAGACGAUCAGAUACCGUCGUAGUCUUAACCAUAAACUAUGCCGACUAGGGAUCGGAUGAUGUUAAUUUUUUAAUGACUCAUUCGGCGCCUUACGGGAAAC
Molecule: ribosomal RNA, 549 nt
Filed under: uncultured Glomus
Lineage: Eukaryota; Fungi; Glomeromycota; Glomeromycetes; Glomerales; Glomeraceae
Description: SSU rRNA
Rfam family: Eukaryotic small subunit ribosomal RNA
Source: RNAcentral